UAUAUCAGUCAUGCAUAGCAUAUCAAUAAGCGGAGGAAAAGAAACUAACUAGGAUUCCCUUAGUAACGGCGAGUGAAGCGGGAAGAGCUCAAAUUUGAAAUCUUCAAGGUUCUACCUUGACGAAUUGUAGUCUAUAGAAGUGUUUUCUGUUAGUGGAGUGGCAAAAGUUCUUUGGAAUAGGACAUCAUAGAGGGUGAGAAUCCCGUAUUUGGUCAUUCCUCCUAGCGUUGUGAUACACUUUCAACGAGUCGGAUUGUUUGGGAAUGCAGUCCAAAAUGGGUGGUAAAUUUCAUCUAAAGCUAAAUAUUGGCGAGAGACCGAUAGCGAACAAGUACCGUGAGGGAAAGAUGAAAAGAACUUUGAAAAGAGAGUUAAACAGUACGUGAAAUUGUCAAAAGGGAAGCGCUUGACACCAGUGUUGUUUUUCCGAAAAUCAAUUACGAAUGUUUUAGUUUUUGAGGAGUUAUGACUUCAUCGGCUUGCUUCCUCUCUUUAUGAAACUUUCUUAAUGCACUUUUCGGUUAACAAGUCAACAUCAAUUUCUUUUGUUGUAAAAGGGUAUGAGGAAGGUGGCUUACUCUUCGGCGUAAAGUGUUUAUAGCCUUGUAGCCUCUGCAAUCGGAGAGAUUGAGGUACUGCAGCGUAGACUCUUCGGGGUUAGAUACACUUGUGCUAAGCUAUAGCCUUGUAUAGACAACUUGUUGACUAUGCUCAGUCAUGUAGCUUACUCGCUUAUGCUAUUUUACCUACGCUUAGGAUGUUGAUCUCUCACAGUCGAGC
Molecule: ribosomal RNA, 780 nt
Filed under: uncultured Neocallimastigales
Lineage: Eukaryota; Fungi; Neocallimastigomycota; Neocallimastigomycetes; Neocallimastigales
Description: partial large subunit ribosomal RNA
Rfam family: Eukaryotic large subunit ribosomal RNA
Source: RNAcentral